RNAcentral lists this ribosomal RNA (406 nucleotides) under uncultured bacterium. Its description in RNAcentral is "partial 16S ribosomal RNA". It matches the Rfam family "Bacterial small subunit ribosomal RNA", at positions 30 to 526 of the family's 1533-position model. The record is from RNAcentral.
AUUGAACGCUGGCGGCAGGCCUAACACAUGCAAGUCGAACGAGUGGCGGACGGGUGAGUAAUGUCUGGGACACUGCCCGAUGGAGGGGGAUAACUACUGGAAACGGUAGCUAAUACCGCAUACCAUCGGAUGUGCCCAGAUGGGAUUGGCUAGUAGGUGGGGUAACGGCUCACCUAGGCGACGAUCCCUCGCUGGUCUGAGAGGAUGACCAGCCACUCUGGAACUGUGAGACGGUCCAGACUCCUUCGGGGUGCAGCAGUGGGGAAUAUUGCACGAUGGGAGCAAGCCUGAUGCAGCCAUGCCGCGGGUAUGAAGAAGGCCUUCGGGUUGUAAAGUACUUUCAGCGAGGAGGCGUUACUCGAAGAAGAAGCACCGGCUAACUCCGUGCCAGCAGCCGCGGUAAUUC